Molecule: ribosomal RNA, 270 nt
Filed under: uncultured archaeon
Lineage: Archaea
Description: partial 16S ribosomal RNA
Rfam family: Archaeal small subunit ribosomal RNA
Source: RNAcentral
CAGCACCUCAAGUGGUCAGGAUGAUUAUUGGGCCUAAAGCAUCCGUAGCCGGCUCUGUAAGUUUUCGGUUAAAUCUGUACGCUCAACGUACAGGCUGCCGGGAAUACUGCAGAGCUAGGGAGUGGGAGAGGUAGACGGUACUCGGUAGGAAGGGGUAAAAUCCUUUGAUCUAUUGAUGACCACCUGUGGCGAAGGCGGUCUACCAGAACACGUCCGACGGUGAGGGAUGAAAGCUGGGGGAGCAAACCGGAUUAGAGACCCGAGUAGUCC